CAAUAGCGUAUAUUAAAGUUGUUGCAGUUAAAAAGCUCGUAGUUGGAUUUCUGGUUGGAGCGACCGGUCGGGCAUUGAUUUGUCUGCACUGGAGUCGGUUCCGUCCAUCCUCCUGGAAAGUGCGUAUGGCAUUAAGUUGUCGUGCGUAUGAUCCAGGUCUUUUACUGUGAAAAAAUUAGAGUGUUUAAAGCAGGCCUUCGCCUUGAAUACAUUAGCAUGGAAUAAUAAGAUAGGACUUGGGUCUAUUUUGUUGGUUUGCAGACCGAAGUAAUGAUUAAUAGGGAUAGUUGGGGGUAUUUAUAUUCCGAUGUCAGAGGUGAAAUUCUUAGAUUUUCGGAAGAUAAACUUAUGCGAAAGCAUUUACCAAGGAUGUUUUCAUUAA
This 382-nucleotide ribosomal RNA is filed under the name uncultured eukaryote. RNAcentral describes it as "partial 18S ribosomal RNA". It matches the Rfam family "Eukaryotic small subunit ribosomal RNA", at positions 592 to 976 of the family's 1831-position model. The record is from RNAcentral.